RNAcentral lists this ribosomal RNA (460 nucleotides) under uncultured bacterium. RNAcentral's name for it is "partial 16S ribosomal RNA". It matches the Rfam family "Bacterial small subunit ribosomal RNA", at positions 338 to 795 of the family's 1533-position model. The record is from RNAcentral.
CCUACGGGAGGCAGCAGUGAGGAAUAUUGGACAAUGGGCGAGAGUCUGAACCAGCCAAGUAGCGUGAGGGAUGAAUGCCCUAUGGGUGGUAAGCUUCUUUUAUAUGGGAAUAGAAUGUUCCACGUGUAGGAUUUUGUAUGUACCAUAUGAAUAAGGAUCGGCUAACUCCGUGCCAGCAGCCGCGGUAAUACGGAGGAUCCGAGCGUUAUCCGGAUUUAUUGGGUGUAAAGGGAGCGUAGGUGGAUUGUUAAGUCAGUUGUGAAAGUUUGGGGCUCAACCGGAAAACUGCAUUUGAAACUGGCAGGCUAGAGUAUAGUAGAGGUGGGCAGAAUUCGAGGUGUAGCGGUGAAAUGCGUAGAUAUCUGGAAGAACUCCGAUGGCGAAGGCAGCCCACUGGACUGAAACUGACACUGAGGUUCGAAAGUGUGGGUAUCAAACAGGAUUAGAUACCCCGGUAGUC